AAAACGCACCCACCAUCACGCUACAACAAUUAGUAAUACAUCUGGACAUUCCCAAUCACUUUGUCCCAGUGCAGUACCGUUCUAUUGAUUUAGUAUGGGGAUAUACAUUUCAUCUUACAAAGUCGCUUCUUCAAACUAGCUUAGUGAUCAAAAAAAAAAAAAAAAAUUGGUGCUAGAUUUUAGAACCCAACAUAAGAUGAACCAUAGUUUUAUAAUCAAAGCUUGACAUCUGGUUCAGCAUUUCCAGACAGAUUCCGGAUGAUGUCAUCCACAUGUCCUCUCAACUCUAAAAAAAGUUAUCUCCAGGGAGUUGGAAGGGCAAAACUCUGCUCAAAAAACCAGCACAUCUACUGUAUUAUUUUCCGGUCGAGGCAAUUGUAUGCGCGUACGAAAACCGCCCGCUUCAACGAACCCGGCAACUUGUGCGACCUCGACCUCCCUCUCCCAAAUCCCAA
This 455-nucleotide small RNA is filed under the name Histoplasma capsulatum. RNAcentral describes it as "hypothetical RNA". Lineage: Eukaryota; Fungi; Ascomycota; Eurotiomycetes; Onygenales; Ajellomycetaceae. The record is from RNAcentral.